RNAcentral lists this ribosomal RNA (1248 nucleotides) under Microbacterium esteraromaticum. RNAcentral's name for it is "bacterial SSU rRNA". It matches the Rfam family "Bacterial small subunit ribosomal RNA", at positions 40 to 1301 of the family's 1533-position model. Lineage: Bacteria; Bacillati; Actinomycetota; Actinomycetes; Micrococcales; Microbacteriaceae. The record is from RNAcentral.
UGGGACGGGGUUCCAGAGAAAGACGGACGAUGUAGCCCAGCUUGCUGGGUGGAUUAGUGGCGAACGGGUGAGUAACACGUGAGCAACCUGCCCCUGACUCUGGGAUAAGCGCUGGAAACGGCGUCUAAUACUGGAUAUGUCCCGUCACCGCAUGGUGUGCGGGUGGAAAGAUUUUUCGGUUGGGGAUGGGCUCGCGGCCUAUCAGCUUGUUGGUGAGGUAAUGGCUCACCAAGGCGUCGACGGGUAGCCGGCCUGAGAGGGUGACCGGCCACACUGGGACUGAGACACGGCCCAGACUCCUACGGGAGGCAGCAGUGGGGAAUAUUGCACAAUGGGCGGAAGCCUGAUGCAGCGGGGCCGCGUGAGGGAUGACGGCCUUCGGGUUGUAAACCUCUUUUGGCAGGGAAGAAGCGAGAGUGACGGUACCUGCAGAAAAAGCACCGGCUAACUACGUGCCAGCAGCCGCGGUAAUACGUAGGGUGCAAGCGUUAUCCGGAAUUAUUGGGCGUAAAGAGCUCGUAGGCGGUCUGUCGCGUCUGCUGUGAAAUCCCGAGGCUCAACCUCGGGCUUGCAGUGGGUACGGGCAGACUAGAGUGCGGUAGGGGAGAUUGGAAUUCCUGGUGUAGCGGUGGAAUGCGCAGAUAUCAGGAGGAACACCGAUGGCGAAAGGCAGAUCUUCUGGGCCGUAACCUGACCGCUUGAAGGAAGCGAAAGGGUGGGGAGCAAACAGGCUUAGAUACCCUGGUAGUCCACCCCGUAAACGUUGGGAACUAGUUGUGGGGUCCUUUCCACGGAUUCCGUGACGCAGCUAACGCAUUAAGUUCCCCGCCUGGGGAGUACUAUUUUCAAGGCUAAAACUCAAAGGAAUUGACGGGGACCCGCACAAAGCGGCGGAGCAUGCGGAUUAAUUCGAUGCAACGCGAAGAAACCUUUACCAAGGCUUGACAUACACGAGAACGGGCCAGAAAUGGUCAACUCUUUGGACACUCGUGAAACAGGUGGUGCAUGGUUUGUCGUCAGCUCGUGUCGUGAGAUGUUUGGGGUUAAAGUCCCGCAACGAGCGCAACCCUCGUUCUAUGUUUGCCCAGCACGUAAUGGUGGGAACUCAUGGGAUUACUGGCCCGGGGUUCAACUUCGGAGGGAAGGGUGGGGGAUGAACGUCAAAUCAUUCAUGCCCCUUAUUGUCCUUGGGGCCUUCACGCCAUGCCUACAAAUGGCCCGGUAACAAUUGGGCCUUGUGCAGAUUAC